Molecule: long non-coding RNA, 3794 nt
Organism: Gasterosteus aculeatus aculeatus (three-spined stickleback)
Lineage: Eukaryota; Metazoa; Chordata; Actinopteri; Perciformes; Gasterosteidae
Source: Ensembl
CACCGCAACGCCCUCUCUCCAUCCGUUUCUCUUGCUCUAACCACAGCUACUUCCUCGGUAAAACUGUUGGCUGAGGGGGGCAGGUGGUUAGUAUGAUUACACUCACACAACAAAACAUCCACAGAUGCAUGCUUACUACAAAGCGGAAGUGCCAGAUUAAUGCAAGAGUAAAUCAAUCUCUCCUGAGUGGCGCUCAAUGUCGGGGAAAGAAACUACUCCGGAGACAAAAAGUCAUCGACAAGGGAUUCAGAGAAGCACAUACCAAAACUGAAGAGAGAGGCAGAGUCACAAAGAGAUAAAGGAAGAUGUGGACGGUGACAGAGAGGAAGAGCGGAAGCAGAGAAGAAGUGUAAGCAAGUGAAGAGAGAGGAAGAGACGUCAAGUGGAUGUAGAAAGACGGAGAGAGUUUGGUGGAUUACUUUGCAUCUGAGUGACUGGUCGACUACAAACCCAAUUUUCUUACCACCUACCCAGGACCGUGACACCUCGGCUCGGCUUUUGUAAGAAGGGUGGAGAGGAAGAAAUUGUUUCAUGGCCUCCAACAGUAUCUUUGAGCCACGUUCAUCCUACCAGUCAGCUUUCAGACGAGCCAUUCAAACUGCACUAAACACAGCCUGAGGCUCUUCUGUCGUCCUCUCUUUAUCCGUCAUCCUGUCUCUCUGCCUCAUCUUGCCUCUCUCUCUCUCUCUCAACACACUGCUCACUUUUGUCUAUUUUCAUUUCUACGUUUCUACGUUGGAAGAACUAACAUUAAAUAGCUUUGACUGUGUGCAUGGUUACAUAGGUGCUCUCUCUCUCUCUCACUCUCUGCCUGUCUCCAUCUCUCUCUCCUUCUCUUUCUGUCUCUUUCUCUCUGUCAUUUCUUGUGUCAGAAAAUCAAUUUUUAGUUUAGCAGGAAUAAGCCCAUCUCCUCUCAUCACAGAGACCGGUUGAAUAAUUCAGCACACACACACACAAGAACUAAUGCUGUAAACAGGUGCCAUGCAACCGCCUCUCAAGCUCCGUGCAGCCAGACUAAAAGUUGUAGAUGCUUUCUCUGGUGAAGUUUAAGUUUUUAAAGAGAACCUGCAGCCAAUCAGAGGACAGGCGUGGGACUCCUGCUGACCUGUGUCGCGAAAUGUCUUCCUAGCUGAAAAACAUGGACACGCCUGCUCACUGCUGUCUGGUUUCUUGUCAGUGUUUGAAUUUACACUGACAGGAUGUUACACCUCAGUAGUACUGCAGAUUCAGAGUGAGAAGUGGCACACCCAAGUGCACUAACAUGCACAAUCUAAAGGCAAGCGUGAACACAGGAGAAGCUCUGCUAACGGCACACAAGACUUCUCUCUGCUCAGGAAACCAUUACUUCUCCAUAUCUACACAUAGAGGAUGUUUGGUGAUAUAUUAAUGCUCUGAAUGUACCUUUAAUAUGUAGCUUUGAACAAACAUCUGAGUGUAUCAGGGUGCUUUUCACUGCUUGUGGAGCAAAUGUUUAGCUGUAGGGCUUCAGUCCUGGUUAGCAGGGUGGAUCUCUACCUAUUGGUCAAAUAUUAGACACGGCUACUUCCUGUUUACGGAGCAAGGAUCAAUGAGACCAACUUUUACUUGAAUGUUUAUCGAUGUUAAAAUUAAAUGGUAUGUUGGCUUCACGGCUAAUUUGACAGACGGGAGGUUGAUCUGUUUAUGUGUGUGUGUGUGUGUGUGUGUGUGUGUGUGUGUGUGUGUGUGUGUGUGUGUGUGUGUGUGUGUGUGUGUGUGUGUGUGUGUGUGUGUGGACAGACAAAUUGAGAGAUCAACAGAAUGAGAAACUUAUUUUGAAUCCAUGAUGUUCCUUUAUCCUCACAGUUCUUCUUCAGGACAUUGGAUGUCUCCUUAAUGUAAAAGUGAUGAUCCGUUACCCAUGGUGACCUCUGCUGACCUUUAGUGACAAUCACCCUUUCACUACUUCCUCCAUCUGCCGCUAGAAGGACUGAAAGCUUUACGGCUCCCCCCCCUUCACGGUAAAUGCCAUAAAGCAACAGCCCUCUGUGCCAUAAAGUAAUCAAGCAGGCUGAGUGGCACCAUGCAGGGAAGAGUGUGGUAAAAACACACAAAUCAAUGUAUAAUGACAUAAAUACUGACACAAACUGAUGUUUUGUCUUUGCAAAUGAAGCAUUUUACGUAUGUACAAUAUUAACAAUAAACACUUUAUUUAGAAGACCUGUGUUGUGUAUGUGUGUGUGUGUGUGUGUUGUAUACAACAGUGUUCAGUGUGUGUGUUCGUAUGCAUGUGGGACAGCAUGAAUAUUAGUGUGUUUCGUCAGCGUGCGAGCCCACGUUGUUGCGCAAGUCUACAUUCUAUUCUGUGUGUGUAGGUGUGUGUGUGUGUGUGUGUGUGUGUGUGUGUGUGUUUGUGUGUGUGUGUGCGUGUGUAUGUGUGAGUGUGUGUCAUUUGGUGCUGCUGCUAACUGAUAUGUCAGAAAAUCAAUUAAUUACUUUUAAGCGGCAGCUAACUGCAUCCCCGCAAUACACCCCAUGAAUUAUAGACGAAGUAUGUGUGUGUGUGUGUGUGUGUGUGUGUGUGUGUGUAUGUGUGUGUGUGUGUGUGUGUGUGUGUGUGUGUGUGGUACAAUCGGUUGCUCUGUUAACUAGAGACAAUUGCUAACUUCUCCGUCAUUGAUCAACUGAUGAGAGUGCUCCGAUACAAAUCUACUGAGCUCUGAAGUGUCUGAACUGGCUCAUCAAUGUUUGCUUCUAUGGUGUGUGUGUGUGUGUGUGUCUGUGUGUGUGUGUGUGUGUGUGUGUGUGUGUGUGUGUGUGUGUCUGUGUCUGUGUGUGUGUGUGUGUGUAAUUCAAAAUAAGAACAAGGAAACCCUUUACACUUUCGUUGAUAUUAAAUUACAUUGACUAUAUGCCACAUUUGACUACAAGUCUUUUGUUAUAAAUUAUGAUUACCAUCAUAAAAAGCUCUUAAAAAUCAUGAAACUAUAAAAAUGUUGAUAUCACAUUGAAAACCACAAUUAAUGAAAGUUAAUUUGAGUAAAUUAGGGGAACCCUUAAAUAUGAGAGACCACAACCGUUGACACAAUGAGCCAGAUGAUACAGAUAUUAGUCAAAUCAACCCUUUCAUUGCAAAUUCCUUGAAAUGUGUUAAUACUGGGAUUAAUCUAAGGAAUAAUGUAAAUUGUUACAGGUUAAUUGAGGUAAAUUGAUUUUUUUCAAAAUUGCGUAAUUUGUCUUUACCAUUACAGUAUUCUAUUACCUGAUGAAUUCCAUAACUUUCCUGUUGCCCUGACAUCCGUACAAUUCAUUAGUAAAAAUUAGUUAGUAAAAAUUGGUCUGUGCAGGGUUUCUUUGGUGCUGACCCACAGCACGCAUGGAGUCACAACCGGCAGGUUAUAAGAUCAGACUCCAUCCAUCACACUGCACCUCACAAUAAAAAAGUUAAAUAUCAUAAUAUCAUAAAAAGAAUAUCAUCACAGACACUCAGUUCAUAAUGCUGUGAACACUGCAAUAAUCCCGUCAUUCCCCCUGUGUUACCUCAUUUAGGGAACAGACAGCACCUCAACUGACUUUUAUUGAAAUUAAUAAUCUUAAGGAUAUAUGUUCAUAAAAAGUGUGAAAGAAAGAUGCUGAUGAUAAAGCGGAGAUUAGCACAGAGGAGGACCUCUUUUCCCCAGACUCACCCCAUCCCUCCAUCGAUCCCCUCGCUCAGGGUGGCAGCGUUGUGUGCGGGUGUGUGUGCUAUUGAUCCGUACCGUGCCACUGUCACUGGCCUCAGGGUGGCCUCAGCUCAGGGACGACAGGGACAGACAGCCGCUGGCAGAGAGGGGGGG